GCCGGAGUGGCGGAAUUGGCAGACGCGCAGGAUUCAGGAUCCUGUGAGGAUUACACCUCGUGUGGGUUCAAGUCCCACCUCCGGCACCA
Molecule: transfer RNA, 89 nt
Filed under: Candidatus Acetothermia bacterium
Lineage: Bacteria; Candidatus Bipolaricaulota
Also listed under: 2 other names
Description: tRNA-Leu
Rfam family: tRNA
About the family: Transfer RNA (tRNA) molecules are approximately 80 nucleotides in length. Their secondary structure includes four short double-helical elements and three loops (D, anti-codon, and T loops). Further hydrogen bonds mediate the characteristic L-shaped molecular structure. tRNAs have two regions of fundamental functional importance: the anti-codon, which is responsible for specific mRNA codon recognition, and the 3' end, to which the tRNAs corresponding amino acid is attached (by aminoacyl-tRNA synthetases). tRNAs cope with the degeneracy of the genetic code in two manners: having more than one tRNA (with a specific anti-codon) for a particular amino acid; and 'wobble' base-pairing, i.e. permitting non-standard base-pairing at the 3rd anti-codon position.
Source: RNAcentral